RNAcentral lists this ribosomal RNA (222 nucleotides) under uncultured eukaryote. RNAcentral's name for it is "partial 18S ribosomal RNA". The record is from RNAcentral.
UCGUGGAGUGAUCUGUCUGCUUAAUUGCGUUUCACAAAGGACUCUCUAACUUCCGUCUGUUGCGCGGCACUCCGGUGUCUGUUGCACGGCGGAGAAGACGUCCUGAAGGCAACGAACGUGACCGCAACCUCUUGUUGCCUCCUUUCCUGUUCACCAGGGACAUGAGCUGUGGUGGUGCUUCGGCACACCGCUCUCUGCACGGAGUUUUUGCCAACUAGAGGG